UACAGAGGUCUCGAGCGUUAGGCGGAAUCACUGGGCUUAAAGCGUGUGUAGGCGGAUGCCUAAGUACCUUGUGAAAUCCCACGGCUCAACCGUGGAACGGCCCCGGAUACGGGCGGUCUCGAGGGAGGUAGGGGCAUGCGGAACUACGGGUGGAGCGGUGAAAUGCGUUGAUAUCCGUGGGAACUCCGGUGGCGAAGGCGGCGUGCUGGACCUCACCUGACGCUGAGGCGCGAAAGCCAGGGGAGCAAACGGG
Molecule: ribosomal RNA, 253 nt
Filed under: uncultured bacterium
Lineage: Bacteria
Description: partial 16S ribosomal RNA
Rfam family: Bacterial small subunit ribosomal RNA
Source: RNAcentral